GAGUUUGAUCGUGGCUCAGGAUAAACGCUGGCGGCGUGCCUUAUGCAUGCAAGUCGAACGCACCGCAAGGUGAGUGGCGAACGGGUGAGUAACACGUAGGAACCUGCCUGGAAGUGGGGGAUAACCCUUCGAAAGAGGGGCUAAUACCGCAUGUGGUCUCCGGACCAAAGCUUCGGCGCUUCCCAGAGGGGCCUGCGGCGGAUUAGCUUGUUGGUGGGGUAACGGCCUACCAAGGCGACGAUCCGUAGCUGGUCUGAGAGGAUGGUCAGCCACACUGGGACUGAGAUACGGCCCAGACUCCUACGGGAGGCAGCAGCAAGGAAUUUUGCGCAAUGGGCGAAAGCCUGACGCAGCAACGCCGCGUGGGGGAUGAAGGCCUUCGGGUUGUAACGUUACUUUUCUUAUGUCGAAGAAUAUGACGGUAACAUAGGAAUAAGGGU
RNAcentral lists this ribosomal RNA (440 nucleotides) under uncultured Dehalococcoidia bacterium. RNAcentral describes it as "bacterial SSU rRNA". It matches the Rfam family "Bacterial small subunit ribosomal RNA", at positions 9 to 493 of the family's 1533-position model. Lineage: Bacteria; Bacillati; Chloroflexota; Dehalococcoidia. The record is from RNAcentral.